ACCUAACUGACGAGUCCCAAAUAGAACGAAAUGCACGUUUUUUCAU
This 46-nucleotide non-coding RNA is filed under the name Schistosoma margrebowiei. Lineage: Eukaryota; Metazoa; Platyhelminthes; Trematoda; Strigeidida; Schistosomatidae. The record is from RNAcentral.